GCUUGCUGGGGGGAUUAGUGGCGAACGGGUGAGUAACACGUGAGUAACCUGCCCUUGACUCUGGGAUAAGCCUGGGAAACUGGGUCUAAUACCGGAUAUGACUCCUCAUCGCAUGGUGGGGGGUGGAAAGCUUUUGUGGUUUUGGAUGGACUCGCGGCCUAUCAGCUUGUUGGUGGGGUAAUGGCCUACCAAGGCGACGACGGGUAGCCGGCCUGAGAGGGUGACCGGCCACACUGGGACUGAGACACGGCCCAGACUCCUACGGGAGGCAGCAGUGGGGAAUAUUGCACAAUGGGCGGAAGCCUGAUGCAGCGACGCCGCGUGAGGGAUGACGGCCUUCGGGUUGUAAACCUCUUUCAGUAGGGAAGAAGCCGCGAGGUGACGGUACCUGCAGAAGAAGCGCCGGCUAACUACGUGCCAGCAGCCGCGGUAAUACGUAGGGCGCAAGCGUUAUCCGGAAUUAUUGGGCGUAAAGAGCUCGUAGGCGGUUUGUCGCGUCUGCUGUGAAAGACCGGGGCUCAACUCCGGUUCUGCAGUGGGUACGGGCAGACUA
RNAcentral lists this ribosomal RNA (553 nucleotides) under Arthrobacter sp. AL17. Its description in RNAcentral is "bacterial SSU rRNA". It matches the Rfam family "Bacterial small subunit ribosomal RNA", at positions 78 to 643 of the family's 1533-position model. Lineage: Bacteria; Bacillati; Actinomycetota; Actinomycetes; Micrococcales; Micrococcaceae. The record is from RNAcentral. RNAcentral also lists the same sequence under 1 other name.